UGACUCAUGGCUCUGUGGUUGAGCAUCGGCCAGGGAUGCUGGAAAGUGAAGGUUCGAUUCCUUACCGAGUCUU
Daphnia magna is the source of this 73-nucleotide non-coding RNA. NCBI's taxonomy places the organism in Eukaryota, Metazoa, Arthropoda, Branchiopoda, Diplostraca, Daphniidae. The record is from Rfam.